UUUUGGGAUUAACAACAAGUUGAGAAGUAAGACAAAGAGUUAAAACCAUGUCCAAGAUGACUCCCUUAUUAAUAGCAAGAGUCAAAGUUACAGAGACAGCUUCACACGGCAGUCACCUUGGCCUGUUAACUGAAACCCAGAAUCAGGCAGAUGUACCCAGCCCGUGAUGGGCUAGGCUGUACAAGGGAGCCCUCAUGUAGCAGUCCUGACCAUCUGGCUGAGCAGAGACAACGUCAGCUUUCUACACGCAGGCCUGCUUUGUAGUCAAAAGUCUGUCACCCGCCUGGGUGAGCGAAGGAAUGUGCUGGUGCCAAGGAAAAAAUCCCUCCUUGUGGACUUCGGAAACAGAAAAGACAUUCCUUCUAAAAAGUCUGCUCACAGAUCCCUGGGUGGCUCAGCGGUUUGGAGCCUGCCUUCGGCCCAGGGUGUGAUCCUGGAGACCUGAUAUCGAGUCCCAGGUCGGUUCCCUGCAUGGUUCCCUGCCUGGAGCCUGCUUCUCCCUCUGCCUGUGUCUCUGCCUCUCUCUCUCUGUGUCUCUCAUGAAUAAAUAAAUAAAAUCUUAAAAAAAUAAAUUCUGCUCACAACUAGUAAGACACUAACUUGGUGUACCCUGUAGUCUCUACUCAGAGGUAUUAAUAAAAUGACCACAACGUGCUGCAGAACAAGGUUUAGAGGUUGCUGUUCUUUAAGAAAAAGACUUGAUGUGUAAUUUUCUCUCUUUAUUCCUUGUUGUCAUUAAUUUCAUUUCAUUUAAUUUUAGAGCUUUAAAAGGAGGCUUUUAGUACAUGUGCUGCCAAAGUGAGCAGAAGGAACUUUAAAGUUCAUUUGCUCACCUUCCACUCUUUACAUUGAGUAGCCUGAAGCCCGUAUUUGUGACUUGGCUGGAAUAUCUAACCUGUUAGAGGCAGAGCUGAUACUUGGGUAUUUGACUGAUAAAACAGUACACUGUCCAUUAUAUUGCAAUAUGUCCCUUUGGCUUGUUCUCCCUUUCAUUUUUAGACAUAUGAUCCAGCUCAGCUAUGAUGAAGGAGAAAAAAAACAAAACAAAAAACAAAUCAGUAAAUGUCAAAGUUGAGAAAUUAUAGAGUUUUAGUUUUGAAAAAGUAUAGACCAUGAGGCAUAGUCUAUAUAGAUAUAGGCAAAUGUAGAAUUUUAAAAUGUAGUCUUCUAAUUGUUUAUGUUAUCUGAAUCAAAAUGAAAAUUCUAGGUUAGACUUUUAGUCUAUGAUAUAGUUUUGGAAUAUAGGUGAGGUUUGGUGCGGUGAGGUCCAGAGGUGACAGCCAAGAAAGAAUUUUUGAGAUAUCUUUGGUGCAAAAUGGUGGUUUUAUUAAAACACAAGGACAGGACCCAAGGGCAGGAAUAGCUGCUGCACUAGGGUUGUGAGGGGUGGCUGAUUAUAUAUGUGGGAGUUGGUAGUAAGGAAAAAGGGAGGUUUUCAAAAGAAUUUUUGCAUGCUAAAGAGGACCUACAAGAUAUUGGAGGCCUUGCAAUUGCCAAGUUAAGGUUGUUUUUUUACCUCUGGUAAAGC
This 1528-nucleotide long non-coding RNA is filed under the name Canis lupus familiaris (dog). Its description in RNAcentral is "lncRNA (ENSCAFG00000058959.1)". Lineage: Eukaryota; Metazoa; Chordata; Mammalia; Carnivora; Canidae. The record is from RNAcentral.